GAUGAACGCUGGCGGCGUGCCUAAUACAUGCAAGUCGAGCGAACAGACGAGGAGCUUGCUCCUCUGACGUUAGCGGCGGACGGGUGAGUAACACGUGGAUAACCUACCUAUAAGACUGGGAUAACUUCGGGACACCGGAGCUAAUACCGGAUAAUAUAUUGAACCGCAUGGUUCAAUAGUGAAAGACGGUUUUGCUGUCACUUAUAGAUGGAUCCGCGCCGCAUUAGCUAGUUGGUAAGGUAACGGCUUACCAAGGCAACUAUGCGUAGCCGACCUGAGAGGGUGGUCGGCCACACUGGAACUGAGACACGGUCCAGGCUCCUACGGGAGGCAGCAGUAGGGAAUCUGCCGCAAUGGGCGAAAGCCUGACGGAGCAACGCCGCGUGAGUGAUGAAGGUCUUCGGAUCGUAAAACUCUGUUAUUAGUGAAGAACAAAUGUGUAAGUAACUAUGCACGUCGUGACGGUACCUAAUCAGAAAGCAACGGCUAACUACGU
This 496-nucleotide ribosomal RNA is filed under the name uncultured bacterium. Its description in RNAcentral is "partial 16S ribosomal RNA". It matches the Rfam family "Bacterial small subunit ribosomal RNA", at positions 28 to 506 of the family's 1533-position model. The record is from RNAcentral.